UAACACAUACACGUACAAAUACAGCACACCACAAUCAAAUCACUCUCUGUGAAAAAACAUUACUCUACAUCUCUUCCUCCCUUCUUCUCCAAUGAGCAAAACCAGUUAGUUCCAGCCACCACUUCACCACCCCCGUUCAUAUAAUCAAAAACCCAAACAACAACCACAAACCGACUUCCUCUUUACUGUUCUAUCAUGCCCCAAUGAUAUUUGACCAGAAAAACACGGCGAUGCCGCAACAAAUAGCAACAAAAGUUCCAAACAACAACAAAUCAGGGAGAUUCGGUAAAUUCCACUAUUGACGAACUCACCGAAGCUCCGAACUCCGGUGAACAAUAGUAACUCUGGUGAAUAGCUUCGUCAAAAACCCCUCCCCAUCGUCCAGUCCCCUUCUCGAGCUCCGGCGAGGAGCUCCAUGAUCCGAUGAACUGGAGCAGCUCCCGUUUUCCUUUCUCCCAUCACAUCAUUUUUAUUGUUUUGUUUAGUUUUGAAUUUUUCAGUUUGUCCGGUGAAGUCCAACUACUCCGGUAUCAAUCCCGAAAUGUUCAAAUCUGAUUGGAGGAGGUCUAUUUCUGGCGAACUUCAUCUUCUCUGCUCCUUGUUGUUUUCUGUUUUGGUUUUCUAACCUGGUUAUAUCCUGUUUAGGUUGAUUUAAUUUUGUCUUUGUUGUCGUGUUGUUUUCAUUUUUUUCUAGAUAUCACUCUGUGUGUGUUUAUAUUUCAUUUUUACUAAUAGUGCUUUUUUAAUCUUUUAUGUUGUUAGUUUUGGUUAAAAUUAAAUUUAUACAUUUUACAAUUGUCAUUAAUUUUAUUGGUCCAUGAUUAUUUUUGUGGUAUUUGUUACUAUUUCUUUAAUUUUAAAAGUAAUAUUAUAACAUGGAUUCAAAUGUGCUACUUUGAGAAAAAAAUUAUUUUGAAUGAGACUCAAACAAUAAUAUUUGUACGAGGCUCCACUAAAUUCUUGAUACUUGAAUUGUGGGACCCAUCUGUAUAAAUGAACAAGUAAAAUGUAAGUGUACGGUAGGAAAGAAAUAGAGCGAUGAGAAGUGAUUUUUUCCUCCUUAAAAGUUACUUUAUUGAUCAUAUACAAUAUUGCUGAUCACUUCUUUUCUCAAAGGAACACCAAAUCUAUUACAACAUUGUUGAUGGUUUUCUUUCUCAAAAAGAUCAAAUCUAUUACAACAUUAUUGAUCACCCUUUUUCUCAAAGAUACAUCAAAUUUAUUAUCACCCAUCAAAAAAUUCUUCUCUAGAUGUAAUAAAUUCAUCACUUUUUUUUUUUUUUUUUUAGAACAACUACUCUAAAUAUAAUAAAUAUCAAAUAUGUACUCUAAAUGUAGAGAAUAUAUCAACUUAUUUUAGAAUAUACCAACUUAUUUUUACUCUUACUUAUUAUUGUUGUUUGAAUCUACUUACUUAUUAGUGGACUUUAUUUUGAUAUUGCUACCAAAAUAUUUUAUUUUGAUACAUAUAUAUCACCAAGAUUAUAUUUUAUAUAUGACUUAUUAAUAAAAUGUCCCUUAUACAAAGCACUUUCGUAUAUCAAUUGUUGCUGCAACAUGUGAUCUUCAUGACUUAUUGAAAAAUUCUGUCAAACAUAAAAAUAUUUUUACUAGAAAAUAAAAAUAGAAUUCAGAUCUGGUAUUGUUUUUACUCUGAAUAACAGUCCCAACAAAUUUAAUAAUAGUUAUACAUAUUUCAAAUUAUAAUAUAAGCUUUAUAGUAUCACAAGGAAAAACAUAUAAGCAUUUCUACACUAAAAUAGCUUUGACAUUUUUUAACACUUUUAUUUUGUUUGUACAGAUUAAUUGUGUUUCAAAUCAGAAAUGAAAAAUGUAAAUGUUGAAAAAGGUUCUUCUUAAUAAGAAGGUAAUGUCUCACUUCUAUAAAAUAUUCUUAUAGUUUAUUAUUAUUUGUGUUUUCAUGCUUCUAAUGUAAACACUGCAACCUUAAAUCAUAAUAUAAAUGAUCAAGAACAUUUUUAAGGAGCUCAUAAUGUUUAUACCAUCGAUAAAAAUUUUAUUUUCUAGAUUGAUAUGAAAUUUAAUUCAGAAGAGGGAUCAUACAAUGCAUACAAUUCAUAUGUCGUGGCAAAAGGUUUUGGUGUUCGAAAAGGUGCGAAGACUAAAAAUAGAAACAACUAGAUAACGAGAUGCUUAUUUUUAUGUUCUUGUGAAGGACAAUUUGAUAAGCUUUCUCCUUUUCAAUAAAGGAAGCAAAAAAUAUUAGAAUAUAAAUGUGGAUGCUUGGCUCGUAUAAACUUCAAACUAUCAAAUGACAUAUGGGAAGUAUGUGAAUUUAAUGAUGUGCAUAGUCAUCUAAUGAUAGAAGAUAAUUUAAGAUAUUUCAUAAAAUCUGAUCGAAAGCUUACAAGUGCUACCAAAAAUAUUCUUGGUUCUAUGGUCGAUGUUGGUAUUCACACAAAAAAAGCUAUUCGAUAUCUUCAAAAUGAAGCAGAUGGAAUUGAAAAUAUAGGAUUUAUUGAGCAAGAUGCUUAUAAAUUCAUACAAGCACAUAAGAGAAACAUGAUUAAUGGUGAAAAUGCUCAAACUUUGAUAAAUUAUUUUAUGCAUUUGCAAUCGAAGGACUCAGAUUUCUUUUAUUCUUUUCAAAUUGAUGAAGAAGGUGGAUUGUGAAACUUUUUCUUUGGAGAGAUAACAUAUCUAGAUUGCACUAUGAGUAUUUCGGAGAUGUGAUGAUUUUUGACACCACAUAUCACACAAAUUAAUAUAACAUGAUUUGUGCUUCAUUUUUUUGGUGUAAAUAAUCAUUGGAAAAAUAUUUUCUUUGGAUGUGCAUUCUUGUGUGAUGAAACAUUAGGCGCUUUUAUUUGGCUAUUUCAAACAUUCCUAAAGGGAAUGGGAGGAAAAGCACCAACAAUAAUUUUUACCGAUUAAGUUCCUGCUAUAGCGGCUGUCAUUAGAGAAGUUUAUCCUGAAACAUGUCAUCGGUUAUGUGAAUGACACAUUGACAGAAAUGCUCAUAAGAACAUACCCCACCUUUACUGAAAAUAAGAAUUUCGAAACUACUUCGAUACUUUCUUAUGAAGAUGCAAGUCUAAAUCAAAAUUUGAAGUGAUAUGGCAGAAUAUGAUAUCUGGAUAGGAUUGUGCAAAUAAUACUUUUCUUAAAAAGCUAUAUGAUCUGAGAAAGAAAUAAUGUUCUGCAUUUAGUCGUUUCAUUUUUUCAGCGGAAAUUAAAUCAACUCAAAGAAAUGAAAGCAUAAACAGAGUUUUCACAUAAAUGGCAUGCAAGACAAUGAGUGUAACUGAAUUUGUAAAGCAAUAUGAGCAGCGAAUAAAUGAAAUGCAUGGCAGCGAGGCAAUUAAGAAUUACAAAUGCUGAGGAAAGCCUAAAAUUUUCAUAGUAGACUGUGGGAUCUUGAAGCAUGCUGGUAGUGUGUAUACAAGAAGAAUUUUUACAAGGUUUCAACAUGACUUUCUAUAAGGAACAACCAAGAAAGUAAUCAAUCUAAAAAGUAAUGGGACUUGUACUAUAUAUACAGUCUUAAAGGGUGAAAGUGAGCAAAUUGAAACUGUCCAGUUCAAUUCUCUUGAUAAUUUUAUAUUCUGUAGUUGUCAAAUGUUUGAAGCCAUGGGUUGAUUGUGUUGUCAUGUAUUUAAAAUUUUAUUCUUUGACAUAAACUUUUCUUGUAUACUUGAGAAAUAUAUUUUGGAAAGGUGGACUAAGAAUUCUAAGCAUGGCGGUGGAUUUAAGAAGUUCACAAAAAUAAAAGGAGACAAUGAAAUUCUCCUUGGCAAAUCGCUUAAAUGAAUUAAUGAAGGAAUUUUUUACUGUUAUGAAUUUAGUGGCAAAUGACUUGGACUUCAAAAAAAUUGUUUGAAAGUAUUUGUAUCAGGCAAAGAUUGAGAUUAUUAAGUAUCAAAGUGAAUUUUACGCUGAAAAUUAUGAGAAGGAUAAGAACAAGCUCGGUGGAACUGAUUCUAUUACAGGGUGUAAUGAUCAAGUUUUGAAUCCAAUUAAGAAAAAAGACGAGAAAUGGAUAUGGAAGAAUGAAGUCAAAAGGUGAGCAAAGAAAAAAAAAGCAUCACAAAAGACAAUUAAAAUCAGAGUAGCAACAUCAGUCUUUGAAUGCUAUAGGACUGAGCUUUGAAGCGCAAUCAACCUCAAUGCAAGGCUUCACUAAACUAAACUUUAAGGUUAUUUUCCUUCAUCAAAUUAAACAUUUUUAAUCAUUGUCUUGCUACUUUAUUUAUCUACAAAUUUUGAUUCUUUUUUUCUAUUAAAAUUGAUUUACUAAGCUUGAUUUUUUCCUUUUUAUAUUCAAACCUACAGGUACAUAAAGAUUCAUACAAUAAUUUCAGCCAACUAUUAACACAAAACUUAAAUCUAAAAUCUGAAGUGUGCUUUCAAAGUCAAGAUUCAAACAAUGCAUUAGAAAAUAUUAGUAUCAAUGAAAAGGGAAUAUAGUAAAUCUUUGGAACACACUUUGUAAUAGAUUUUAUCUUUUUUAACAUCAUAAAUAUUUAUAUGAUAAGUAUUUUGCUAUUUUGGCAUUAGAAAUGACAUGCAAACAAAAAUUUGUAGAGAUCUAAAUUCUGUUACUCAUUUUAUAUAAUCUUAUAUAUAUAAUUAGUCAUGAAGAUGAAACAAGAUUCGUACCUGAAAAAUAUUGAUAAAGAAAAAUUGUAGAUGAAGAUGCAGUAAUAGAGCAAGAUUUGAGUAAAGAACCAAAAUUUGAGAACAAUGCUUUAAUUUUUUUAUCUUCAACACAUAUCAAUCAUUUUUUUGCAUUAGCGGCAUCCCAAAUCACUAAUCAAUAUUUUAAUAUUAGUAUUUAAUGAAAUUGCAAAUUUCAUAUCAAUAGAUGAACACGUAAUUUUGAAUUUUAAUAGAAGUUCUUAGAUAAGAAAAAUGAAAGUUUUUUUUUUUUUGUUUAGAAGAAAGUUUUUUGAUGAAGAAGAAAUAGAGAUGUCAAGAACACUCCAUGUUGGUUGGAAAUUACAAAGACAAUUAAUACGCGUUAAGUCUUCUACUUUCAAUAACUUUAGUGUUUUUUGACUCAUUUUUCUGUGGACUCCACAGUCCACUUUCAAUUUUUUGUUGAAAUGUUAGUCUCUCUUCCUUCUUGAUUUUAUUUUGCAACUUUAGAUUAAUAAAAUGGUUCCACAAUCCACGUAUCAAGAAGUUAGUGGAGCCUCAUACAAGUAUUGUUGAUUAAGUCUCAUUCAUCAUAAAUUUUUUACUGUAACCUUGGUUGAUUUCUUUAUUUAGUGACAUAACUAACAAAGAACGAGUAUUAAUAUUUGGCAGAUGAAGAAAUUCUCCAUCAAUUUUUGAGGACUUCAUAAAUAAAAAUACAAAUUUUAUGUAUACAAAUAUGUAAUACAAUAAAUAAAUUUGGGCGAUGACGAAAUUCUUAUAAUAUUUAAAACUUUAUCUGAGUUCGCACUUUUAACAAAAGUUCUAUUUUACAUGCAUAUAUGCGCAUAUAUUUCUUAAUUUAUUUUGAUUUGUUACUAACAUUUUUAUCUCAAGUGCUUGUACAGAUUUUUGGGAGCACUUGUCAAAAUUGGCACUCAAGAAGAGAGUUUGAAUUUUAUAUUUGUAUUUUAUACUUUUAUACUUGGAUAAAAUAUUAAUUUUAUUGAAAACUUUAUUUUUUGAGGGUGUUGGGUGAGAUGUUCUUUAUUUAUGUAAUCUUC
RNAcentral lists this long non-coding RNA (5663 nucleotides) under Capsicum annuum. RNAcentral's name for it is "long non-coding RNA (CANN_LNC015482)". The record is from RNAcentral. Lineage: Eukaryota; Viridiplantae; Streptophyta; Magnoliopsida; Solanales; Solanaceae.